UCCUGGAUUUGGAUUUGUGGCAGGCCCCUUCCCUUGGACCUCUGAUAGUGCCCAGCCCAGGGCAGACGAGCCCAGAACCACUGCUGACUCUACCCUUAGGCUGCUGGCACUGAAGCAGGUUGCACAAUG
This 129-nucleotide small nucleolar RNA is filed under the name Marmota marmota marmota (Alpine marmot). Its description in RNAcentral is "Small nucleolar RNA SNORA42/SNORA80 family (ENSMMMG00000007010.1)". It matches the Rfam family "Small nucleolar RNA SNORA42/SNORA80 family". Rfam says of the family: The members of this family belong to the H/ACA class of snoRNAs that guide the sites of modification of uridines to pseudouridines. Lineage: Eukaryota; Metazoa; Chordata; Mammalia; Rodentia; Sciuridae. The record is from Rfam by way of RNAcentral.